UUUUAGUACGGAUAUAGAUUUCGGUGUCCAAUGUUUGAUCGUCUAUAUUAUUUAAAUUUUUUAUUAGUAUUUUUGUUGUUAUUAGAUGAUAAACAUGAAAAAAACUUUAUGUGUGACUUAUUUUUUAAAAAAAAAUUAUAAUUUUUUAAAUACAACAGACGGUCAAAAUGUAAACCCACAUCUACACUUCAA
This 192-nucleotide microRNA precursor is filed under the name Oryza barthii. Its description in RNAcentral is "MIR812 microRNA precursor family". It matches the Rfam family "MIR812 microRNA precursor family". Lineage: Eukaryota; Viridiplantae; Streptophyta; Magnoliopsida; Poales; Poaceae. The record is from Rfam by way of RNAcentral.